AACGAACGCUGGCGGCAGGCUUAACACAUGCAAGUCGAACGGGUGUAGCAAUACAUCAGUGGCAGACGGGUGAGUAACACGUGGGAACCUUCCUAGGGGUACGGAACAACUCAGGGAAACUUGAGCUAAUACCGUAUACGUCCGUAAGGAGAAAGAUUCAUCGCCCCUAGACGGGCCCGCGUCGGAUUAGGUAGUUGGUGGGGUAACGGCCUACCGAGCCUACGAUCCGUAGCUGAUCUGAGAGGANGAUCAGCCACACUGGGACUGAGACACGGCCCAGACUCCUACGGGAGGCAGCAGUGGGGAAUCUUGGACAAUGGGCGCAAGCCUGAUCCAGCCAUGCCGCGUGAGUGAAGAAGGCCUUAGGGUUGUAAAGCUCUUUUACCAGGGACGAUAAUGACGGUACCUGGAGAAUAAGCCCCGGCAAACUUCGUGCCAGCAGCCGCAGU
RNAcentral lists this ribosomal RNA (449 nucleotides) under uncultured bacterium. RNAcentral's name for it is "bacterial SSU rRNA". It matches the Rfam family "Bacterial small subunit ribosomal RNA", at positions 29 to 521 of the family's 1533-position model. The record is from RNAcentral.